CCUACGGGUGGCAGCAGUGAGGAAUAUUGGUCAAUGGCCGAGAGGCUGAACCAGCCAAGUCGCGUGAGGGAAGAAUGUCCUAUGGAUUGUAAACCUCUUUUGUCAGGGCGCAAAGUCACCCACGUGUGGGUGUUUGAGAGUACCUGAAGAAAAAGCAUCGGCUAACUCCGUGCCAGCAGCCGCGGUAAUACGGAGGAUGCGAGCGUUAUCCGGUUUUAUUGGGUUUAAGGGGGGCGUAGGCGGGUUAUCAAGUCAGCGGGAACAUCGUGGAGCUAAACUCCAUCCUGCCGUUGAAACUGAUGAUCUUGAGUGCGCGAGAGGUAUGCGGAAUGCGUGGUGUAGCGGUGAAAUGCAUAGAUAUCACGCAGAACUCCGAUUGCGAAGGCAGCAUACCGGCGCCCGACUGACGCUGAAGCGCGAAAGCGUGGGUAUCGAACAGGAUUAGAUACCCGUGUAGUC
This 459-nucleotide ribosomal RNA is filed under the name uncultured bacterium. RNAcentral describes it as "partial 16S ribosomal RNA". It matches the Rfam family "Bacterial small subunit ribosomal RNA", at positions 338 to 795 of the family's 1533-position model. The record is from RNAcentral.